This 755-nucleotide ribosomal RNA is filed under the name Salmonella enterica subsp. enterica. RNAcentral describes it as "partial 23S ribosomal RNA". It matches the Rfam family "Bacterial large subunit ribosomal RNA", at positions 1 to 688 of the family's 2925-position model. Lineage: Bacteria; Pseudomonadati; Pseudomonadota; Gammaproteobacteria; Enterobacterales; Enterobacteriaceae. The record is from RNAcentral.
GGGUUGUGAGGUUAAGCGACUAAGCGUACACGGUGGAUGCCCUGGCAGUCAGAGGCGAUGAAGGACGUGCUAAUCUGCGAUAAGCGCCGGUAAGGUGAUAUGAACCGUUAUAACCGGCGAUUUCCGAAUGGGGAAACCCAGUGUGAUUCGUCACACUAUCAUUAACUGAAUCCAUAGGUUAAUGAGGCGAACCGGGGGAACUGAAACAUCUAAGUACCCCGAGGAAAAGAAAUCAACCGAGAUUCCCCCAGUAGCGGCGAGCGAACGGGGAGGAGCCCAGAGCCUGAAUCAGCAUGUGUGUUAGUGGAAGCGUCUGGAAAGGCGCGCGAUACAGGGUGACAGCCCCGUACACAAAAGCGCAUGUGCUGUGAGCUCGAUGAGUAGGGCGGGACACGUGGUAUCCUGUCUGAAUAUGGGGGGACCAUCCUCCAAGGCUAAAUACUCCUGACUGACCGAUAGUGAACCAGUACCGUGAGGGAAAGGCGAAAAGAACCCCGGCGAGGGGAGUGAAAAAGAACCUGAAACCGUGUACGUACAAGCAGUGGGAGCCCCACCACUAAGCCAGUGGUGAACUCCACAUACGCAUCCUUUGCUGAGGAUACGGUUAACGGAGCGAAAGCGACGUUCAACCUCAAAAGAAGCAGAGGGGGCUUAGUGGUGGGGUGACUGCGUACCUUUUGUAUAAUGGGUCAGCGACUUAUAUUCUGUAGCAAGGUUAACCGUAUAGGGGAGCCGGAGGGAAACCGAGUCUUAAU